RNAcentral lists this ribosomal RNA (376 nucleotides) under uncultured bacterium. RNAcentral's name for it is "bacterial SSU rRNA". It matches the Rfam family "Bacterial small subunit ribosomal RNA", at positions 524 to 898 of the family's 1533-position model. The record is from RNAcentral.
UACGUAGGGGGCGAGCGUUGUCCGGAAUUACUGGGCGUAAAGGGUGCGUAGGCGGCAUGUUAAGUUGGAUGUGAAAUACCCGGGCUCAACCUGGGGGGUGCAUUCAAAACUGGCAAGCUAGAGUGCAGGAGAGGGAAGCGGAAUUCCUAGUGUAGCGGUGAAAUGCGUAGAUAUUAGGAGGAACACCAGUGGCGAAGGCGGCUUUCUGGACUGUAACUGACGCUGAUGCACGAAAGCGUGGGGAGCAAACAGGAUUAGAUACCCUGGUAGUCCACGCUGUAAACGAUGAAUACUAGGUGUAGGGGGUAUGAACUCCCCCUGUGCCGCAGCUAACGCAAUAAGUAUUCCGCCUGGGGAGUACGGCCGCAAGGUUGAA